CAAGACAUAGCUAAUCAGUAAGCCCCUCCUUUACGCGGAGUAGAUAUCUGUGCAAUUCAGAUUGUCUUGA
This 70-nucleotide transfer RNA is filed under the name Diadema antillarum. Its description in RNAcentral is "tRNA-Val". The record is from RNAcentral. Lineage: Eukaryota; Metazoa; Echinodermata; Echinoidea; Diadematoida; Diadematidae.